This 493-nucleotide ribosomal RNA is filed under the name uncultured bacterium. RNAcentral's name for it is "bacterial SSU rRNA". It matches the Rfam family "Bacterial small subunit ribosomal RNA", at positions 903 to 1397 of the family's 1533-position model. The record is from RNAcentral.
AAAGGAAUAGACGGGGGCCCGCACAAGCGGCGGAGCAUGUGGCUUAAUUCGAGGCGACGCGAAGAACCUUACCUGGGUUUGACAUGCAGGGAAAAGCCGCAGAGAUGCGGUGUCCUUCGGGGCCCUGCACAGGUGGUGCAUGGCUGUCGUCAGCUCGUGUCGUGAGAUGUUGGGUUAAGUCCCGCAACGAGCGCAACCCCCGUCCCAUGUUGCCAUCGGGUAAUGCCGGGCACUCUUGGGAGACUGCCGGGGCCAACUCGGAGGAAGGUGGGGAUGAUGUCAAGUCAUCAUGCCCUUUAUGCCCAGGGCUGCACACAUGCUACAAUGGCCGGUACAAAGGGCUGCGAGUCCGCGAGGAGGAGCCAAUCCCAUAAAGCCGGUCUCAGUUCGGAUCGCAGUCUGCAACUCGACUGCGUGAAGUCGGAGUCGCUAGUAAUCCCGGAUCAGCAACGCCGGGGUGAAUACGUUCCCGGGCCUUGUACACACCGCCCGU